AAUUAAAAAAGCUCUCCGUACAGUUCACAACAGUAAAAGAAAAUCACUAGAUCAGAGUUCCAAUGCAUCUGCACCAGUCCAUGGCACAGCCGACUGGCCCUAUCCUGGCGUGCACGCCUGAUACCACUACUCCAAUCGAUGGGGCAACUACCUCAUUGGAAGAAAUUCCUCCUACUUGGACUAUGCAAAUGAUGUUAUUGCUCCCAUCAAACAGAGCCCUCGGAAACCUAGUUCAAUGGUGGUGGCUAGACAAACUACGCACAACGGCAUGCCGGCUGUGAUCUUCAAAUUGGAUGAUUAUUAUGGAAUCAUGGCGGAAGAAUGCAAAUGGACUCUAUCGAUAAAAUGGCUAGGUUAACAGAAGAGGAGUCCGCUUCUGCUGGAGAAGUGGAUCGGUUUCCUCAAGCUCAAAAAACAGAAGAAUUGACCUCAUCAGCUCGUGGUUCAGUUAGAGAAGAUGAAAGUGUAGAAGAUGAGGAAUCAAUAGAUUAGGAAGAUAAAAAUGAAAGUGGAAAAGAAAGCGUAGAAGAUGAGGAAUCAAUGCAUCAGGAAGGAAAAAAUGAAAGUGGAGAAGAAAAUGCAGAAGAUGAGAAAUCAACGGAUCAACAAGAAGAAAAUAAAAGUGGAGAAGAAAGGGAAGAAGAAACAAAUCAUGUACUUUUCGAACAAAGAAAAAAAGUAUUACAUGAUGAGAAUGUUUACCUUCAAGAUCAAAUGUGAGUGUUUUUUUAAAUUGUCAUUAGUGAAAACAAAGAGUAGGUGUUUUAGCAUUCAUUUACUAUUUUUUAGAAAAUUACCCCCAGUUCAAACAAUUAAUGGAUGCUUAAACACCUACUAAUUGUUUAUUGUAAACAAACAGUUGUUAUUUAAGCACCAAUUAGUUGUUUAAACUACUACCAGUUCAAACAA
This is a long non-coding RNA of Solanum dulcamara, 909 nucleotides long. RefSeq lists it as uncharacterized. The record is from RefSeq and is a predicted model, not a curated record. Lineage: Eukaryota; Viridiplantae; Streptophyta; Magnoliopsida; Solanales; Solanaceae. The transcript has 2 exons.